AGCGGCGGACGGGUGAGUAACGCGUGGGUAACCGUGCCUCAUACAGGGGGAUAACAGUUGGAAACGGGCUGCUAAUACCGCAUAAGCGCACAGUACCGCAUGGUACGGUGUGAAAAACUCCGGUGGUAUGAGAUGGACCCGCGUCUGAUUAGGUAGUUGGUGGGGUAACGGCCUACCAAGCCGACGAUCAAUAGCCGACCUGAGAGGGUGACCGGCCACAUUGGGACUGAGACACGGCCCAG
RNAcentral lists this ribosomal RNA (242 nucleotides) under uncultured bacterium. RNAcentral's name for it is "partial 16S ribosomal RNA". It matches the Rfam family "Bacterial small subunit ribosomal RNA", at positions 94 to 334 of the family's 1533-position model. The record is from RNAcentral.